GGCAGUUUGGCCGAGUGGUCUAAGGCGUCAGGUUUAGGUCCUGAUCUUUUCGAAGGCGUGGGUUCGAACCCCACAGCUGUCA
Pichia kudriavzevii is the source of this 82-nucleotide non-coding RNA. The record is from Rfam. Lineage: Eukaryota; Fungi; Ascomycota; Pichiomycetes; Pichiales; Pichiaceae.